RNAcentral lists this ribosomal RNA (253 nucleotides) under uncultured bacterium. Its description in RNAcentral is "partial 16S ribosomal RNA". It matches the Rfam family "Bacterial small subunit ribosomal RNA", at positions 524 to 776 of the family's 1533-position model. The record is from RNAcentral.
UACAUGGGGUGCAAACGUUGCUCGGAAUUAUUGGGCGUAAAGCGCACGUAGGCGGUUCGUUAAGUCGGAUGUGAAAGCCCUCGGCUCAACUGAGGAAGUGCACCCGAAACUGGCGAGCUUGAGUACGAAAGAGGAUCGCGGAAUUCCCGGUGUAGAGGUGAAAUUCGUAGAGAUCCGGAGGAACACCAAAGGCGAAGGCAGUGUCCUGGGGAGUACCUGACGCUCAGGUGCGAAAGCCAGGGGAGCGAACGGG